CUGCAAUCGACAGAAGGUCGCUAUGUCUCCUCUGAAACGUUGAGUCCGGUUCAACAGUCAGCCAGUGAGCCGGCUGAUUCGAAUAUGAUGGUAGUGAGGGAACAGACACCGUCGGAUGCGCUUGUAAUAGUCCCGAUUCAAGUUUUUGUGCCGGCGUCCCAAACAACCACUGUGCCGGAACUUCAAGAAACACCUGAGUCAGAUUUUGAACCAACCCCUCUGCUACAGAUUGAAGGAACUACAGAAACGUAAGAAAUAGUAUUGGGUGUAUAUUU
This is a non-coding RNA of Arachis ipaensis, 275 nucleotides long. The record is from RefSeq and is a predicted model, not a curated record. Lineage: Eukaryota; Viridiplantae; Streptophyta; Magnoliopsida; Fabales; Fabaceae.